This 73-nucleotide transfer RNA is filed under the name Salmo salar (Atlantic salmon). It matches the Rfam family "tRNA". From Rfam's summary of the family: Transfer RNA (tRNA) molecules are approximately 80 nucleotides in length. The record is from Rfam by way of RNAcentral. Lineage: Eukaryota; Metazoa; Chordata; Actinopteri; Salmoniformes; Salmonidae.
CCCUGUGUGGCUCAGUUGGUAGAGCAUGGUGUUUGCAACGCCAGGGUUGUGGGUUUGAUUCCCACGGGGGGGC